AUUGAACGCUGGCGGCAGGCCUAACACAUGCAAGUCGAGCGGAUGAAGGGAGCUUGCUCCUGGAUUCAGCGGCGGACGGGUGAGUAAUGCCUAGGAAUCUGCCUGGUAGUGGGGGAUAACGUCCGGAAACGGGCGCUAAUACCGCAUACGUCCUGAGGGAGAAAGUGGGGGAUCUUCGGACCUCACGCUAUCAGAUGAGCCUAGGUCGGAUUAGCUAGUUGGUGGGGUAAAGGCCUACCAAGGCGACGAUCCGUAACUGGUCUGAGAGGAUGAUCAGUCACACUGGAACUGAGACACGGUGCAGACUCCUACGGGAGGCAGCAGUGGGGAAUAUUGGACAAUGGGCGAAAGCCUGAUCCAGCCAUGCCGCGUGUGUGAAGAAGGUCUUCGGAUUGUAAAACACUUUAAGUUGGGAGGAAGGGCAGUAAGUUAAUACCUUGCUGUUUUGACGUUACCAACAGAAUAAGCACCGGCUAACUUCGUG
RNAcentral lists this ribosomal RNA (484 nucleotides) under uncultured bacterium. RNAcentral's name for it is "partial 16S ribosomal RNA". It matches the Rfam family "Bacterial small subunit ribosomal RNA", at positions 30 to 507 of the family's 1533-position model. The record is from RNAcentral.